Small nucleolar RNA from Schizosaccharomyces osmophilus, 80 nucleotides. The record is from RefSeq and is a predicted model, not a curated record. NCBI's taxonomy places the organism in Eukaryota, Fungi, Ascomycota, Schizosaccharomycetes, Schizosaccharomycetales, Schizosaccharomycetaceae.
GUGAUGACAAAACGACAUAUACAACAGAAUAACUUAUGUUGAAUUUUGUUGUAUUUUUUUAAGUUUCAGCCUUGUCUGAU